This 4838-nucleotide long non-coding RNA is filed under the name Olea europaea (common olive). RNAcentral describes it as "long non-coding RNA (OEUR_LNC005272)". Lineage: Eukaryota; Viridiplantae; Streptophyta; Magnoliopsida; Lamiales; Oleaceae. The record is from RNAcentral.
UCCAGAGUGUUCUCUGCUUGAGAAGAAAAGAUUGUCCCAUAACUUACGAGUUGCUUUCUUCAUAUUAUCCAACACUAUCAUUUGUAUCCCAGGAUUGUUAAACUAAAAUAAACCUUCUUUUCUCUACUGCAUUGCAUAUCAUAGCUACCACCACUUGAUCAUUUGGGACAGAAAUGGACUCCUAAGCUAGUACAGUGCUGGUAGAGAUUUGUUCUCGAGGAGGUUUAACAAAUAUAUUACUUAGGUAAUGUUUGAAGAACUAUAUGAGAAAGACCCUUAACUCCAUGACCUUCAUCUACUACAAAAUUUUUUAUAUCCCUCUAGUCAGAUUGAAUUCUUAAAAGUUUUGUAGCCAUAUGUGUUACAAUAAGCAUGAUACUUUUCAAUUCUGAAUUUCUAGCCUGUCUUGCAAUUAAUAUUUUCUUAUUUUGUGAUGGAUGAUGAUUAGAGCUUUCAUUGUGAAUUUAGGCCAAACGCUGUAUUUUCUAGUAGAAGUUUAUCUUUUGGGAAACUAAUUGAAGCAGUUGAAAUGUUGUGGGAUUUAAUUAAUAUUUUCUUAUUUUGUGAUGGAUGUUGAUUAGAGCUUUCAUUGUGAAUUUAGGCCAAAUGCAGUAUUUUCUAGUAGAAAUUUAUCUUUUGGGAAACCAAUUGAAGUGGUUGGAAUGUCGUGGGAUUUAGAUGGUUGGAAGUGGAAAGUUGAUUUAUUGGUUUUUGAAAGUGAGGGAAUUAAUGGAUAUGACAAAAUUAUUUUGCAACGGUUAAAUUGCCUGGAUUUUGGAAUAGUUAAAUUUCCUCGUUUUUGGAAUAAUCAAUGGAAAUUAUUCCCCCCUGGCAUGACCUUCAUUCUAUGUGGUGGUCAAGUAUGUUAUUUGUUAGAGGGACUUUACUAUAUUUCACCCAUAUAUCAGAGUAUGUAUUCAUGCUUUACUCAAUCAUUCAUCUUGCUUUAGCCUCAUGAUUCCAUAUUCAUUGUACUCCUAAUUUUGUUAUGUAAUAUCUAUAUUUUUUUUCUUUGCAAAAAGCAUCAUCAAUGGAUAUAAUGAACCAAUUGAACAAAAAAAUAGUCAUCGUACCAGUUCAUGUCCUUACUCAUACAUAGUGAAAGAGGUGAUAAAGGUAGUGAAUGUAUAUGUUAUCAAUAUGUGCUUUAUUAAAUAAUUUUGCUGAUAAUUUGAAUGUAGUGUUUGAAACAUAAUUGCUAACUAUUAGGACGGUACGAGGUUUUCUAAAGUCGACACCUUUGAGUUCGCUUAUGAAGGAAAUAAUAAAUGUCAUACUUAUAAUGCAGCUAAGGCUCAACACGUAAAAAAGACUCAACGCUAUAACUUUUAUAUUGCUUAUCAUGUGUUAUAUUUCUAGUGUAUAAUUGUAUUAUAUCUCUUACAUAUUUUAGUUAUAUAGACUAUUUUAUAUCACCUAUGGGUUGUGUUUGUAGGAUAAGAUGCUUGUUAAAGAGUAUGAACAUCUUGUAGAGAAGGUAAAGGAGUAGUAGAUUCCCGAAGAUAUCCCUUUCAAGGAAUACCUAUAGAUAAUCCUACUGUUGGACUUAAUAUCAUGAUGUCCGUUCUAAGUACAAAGCCCAGACAUCAAAUUCGUGGGUUGAAAGAUGGUCGCCUUUGAGAUAUUAAAACAUCUUCUUCCAAUGUACGCAAUAUGGAGGAUUUAGAAGCAGAACGUGCUGCUCAAAAGGUUGAAUAUGCAGCUCAAGUGAAAAUGGAGCAAAGGAUACAAAACAAGUUGAAGGUUGUUAAGCAACAAUUCAAUUCUAUUUUGCAAUCUUGGCAUCACUCUAUGCACCAGUUACGUGGUAAAGUACCUGGCUUUGUGGUAACAUCAUUUACACUACUGUCAACAGAGAUUAAUACUACUGAGGAAAAUGAUGCUAUUCAUGAGGACAAAGAGAACAACUUUGAAGAGGAUCAGUUGAAUACCUAAUUUACGAGGAUGAACAGUAGUGUUUUUUAGAUGCAUAAUAAUAGAUAUAGAGGAUGUUUGCUAUAUUAUUUUUAUGUCCAGGUAUAACCAUACUUAGUGAAUGAUUUUUAUUUAUAUUUUUUUGAAAUAUUUUGGAUUCAAUAUUACAUUGAUUGGCAUUACAUGUCUUAAUUAAAUUAUUGGUUUUUUUUUUUUUUGCAUCUUUAUAUUAUUUUGAAUGUGGUUAAAAAAUUACUAUAAUAUAAAAACAUAUAUAAAAUAAUUUAAUUUCUCCCUACGAAUUCUUUCAUAAUAGCCUACAAAUAUGUUUUUCUAUGAAAAAUUAUUUGUAGAGAAAAACAGGGUUUAGCCUACAAAAUAAUAUGUAUCAUGUAGUCACAAGUUUUUAAUUAUUGGAAAAAUGUAUAUAUUUUAGCCCACAAAUAUUCCUUCCACACAAAAUAAUUUUAGUAGGGAAAAGCAAGUUUUGGCCCACAACAUAAUUUGUAGGGAAAAGUGAUAUCGUUUCGUAGGCAAACUUAGCUUUAGCAGGCAAAUGAUUUUGUCGAGAGAAAACUUACCCGACGUAUUGUAUUCGUCUCCAAAGGGUUCGUAGGGAAAAACAUUUUCCCACAAAUUUCAAAAUUUUGUAGGCUAAAGUCUAUCUCCUUGAUGUAUGCCCCACAAAUGUCCCCACAAAUCAUUUUUGAUUUUUUCCCACAAAUAAAAACCUUUCCCUACAAAUAAAUUUUGUAGGGAAAACAUAAAACUCAUGUAGUGGAUAUACCUCUUAUACUAUAUAAUUCAUCAAACUUUACAAGAAAAUAGAGGCAAUUCAAUCAUUCUUUUUGGAGAAUUAAGAGCCAAACACAAGAUUUCAUUCAAAUGAUGAUCCAACCUUAAUUUUUUGGGCAGAAAAGAAAAGUCUCAACUAGAGAUUAAUCAAGAAAUAAUUGAAGUGAUUCAAGAUAUAAUGAUACAUCUUCUUCUUAAUUUAUCAAAAAUCAAGGUGAUGUUCUAUAAAUCAAAUAUGAUUUCUUUUAAUUUUGCUAUAGUUGGCUAGAUUUCUAUCUACUAAGAUAUAGAUAAACCCUUAUAAUAAAGUUUUAAUAUAGUUUCAAUAUUAUGACAUCUAAUAUGUGUUUAUUCUUAAAUAAUUGUUAUAUAAUUUAAUGUCUUUCGGUUACUUGAUCACUAAUUGGAUGGAAUUAAGAAUUUUACUGUUACUGAGAGAGACAAUAGUAUAGAUAGCAUUAUUAACAAAUGUUGUGAGAUCUUAUUGAGGAUAGAAAUAUAUCUCUAUACUUUGCAUGAUUUCAAUAGAUAUUCUAAUGUUUUUAAUACAUGUUUUAAUAUUAGCAUCGUUCAUAAAAAAUUAUGAAGGUCACAUGAGAUGAUAUAUUUAAUUCUACUCUAGAAAGAUUAUUAAAUAAUUUAACGUUGAUCAACAAGAAUACUUACAUGUUGUCAUGGUCUUGAAUUGCAUUAAAAUUGAUUAAUAAGGGGGAUUCAAAGUCCCGGUAAUCAUUUCACAUAGUUUUACAAAAAUAAUCAUAAUUUGUUCAUUAGAAUAUUUAGUUUAAAUAAUUAAUCAGUAAAAAUUAUUCAUAAAAAUUUAGUUAUUCGAUUAGAGUAAAAAUUAAUUGAAACUAGAUUACAAACAUAAUUUUCAUGGGAACGAUGCUUUAUUUAUCAUUGUAUUAUAGUUUACGAUACUGUGCACUUGCCAGACUUUGUAGAUCAAUCUUCCUAAGAUUGUAGACAUAUCUUGAUUUUCUUCUACAUCAGAGAUGACAGAAAUCAACUAGAAAAUAAAAUCUCAAGCUUCGACAAGCAUACCCUCAACCGUUCCAUAAGGAUGCUUGAUUUAUUUCUCGGCUCCCCAAUACCUAAUUUCUUGUAAAUAUACAAUGGCACUAGAUUAAUACUUGCUCCAAAAUCAAUUAAAACAUUUAUACUAUGUGAAUUUCCUAUAGAGCAAAAUAAUGCAAAACUCCUUGGAUUUUUUUAGUUUAUGAGAGAGCGUAGGUCGUAAGAUUCCACUGCAUUUUUAGAUAAUGUCAUUAGUUCAUAUUGUGGCAGCUUCUUCUUCUUAGUCAACAUCUGCUUCAAAAAUUUUGCAUAAUUUAAAAUUUGAAGGAUUGCUUCAAUGAAAGGAAUAUCGAUUUGAAUUUGCUUAAGGCGUCCAAGAACUUCUUGAACUGCUUUUUCCAACUUAUUGUUCUAUAGACAGCGGUAUAUGUGAAUUUGCAGGAAUGGUUAUCUUAACUUGUGGACUGUCUUCAAGUUGUUCCCGAUUGACUUUUGUUAAUUUUCCAGACUAAACCAUUUGUUUCUUACCCACGGUAGGUACCUGAUUAUCCUCAGUCUCUUUCUUUUUUAUGCUGAACUCCACUUCUUGUUAUGAUGGCCUAAACCUGUUUCUUCUUUAGCUGCUUUCAAAGACUUUGAAAGAAUAGGAUAUGCAGCACAUAAGCUCAUGCAGGCUCAACAAAUUUGAUUGAUGGUACGUAACUGUUCAUCUUCCAUAGCUUUAAUAGCUAGCACCUAUUCCCGUGGGUUCUCUGUGUAGCUUGGCAGGGUAUCCUUUUAUUCUAUUGGACAACAUAGCUACUAUCUAUCCCACUUGACUUUUCAAAUUUUGGAAAGAAAUUUACUGAUUUUGGAGUACUGUCUUAAUCUCUAUGAGUACUGAGCCAUUAGAUCCUCUAAAGAUGACUUCUCUCUUAUUGUUGGGAUGUCAACAAGCCGAACCAAGUCAGCUUGUAAGUCGAAACUUGAAGAUUGGGCUCGGCACGAGUAAAACUAAGUUGAGCUUUUUUUGCCAGAGUCAAGUUGAGUAAAAGCUUUGCAAAUAAUCGAGGUUCUACCCGAGCUUUCAACUCAAGCCUUACCGAGCUAAGUCGAGUCGGCUGGAUUUUUUU